GAGUUUGAUCAUGGCUCAGAUUGAACGCUGGCGGCAUGCCUUACACAUGCAAGUCGAACGGCAGCAUGAUCUAGCUUGCUAGAUUGAUGGCGAGUGGCGAACGGGUGAGUAAUACAUCGGAACGUGCCUUGUAGUGGGGGAUAACUAGUCGAAAGAUUAGCUAAUACCGCAUACGACCUGAGGGUGAAAGUGGGGGACCGCAAGGCCUCAUGCUAUAGGAGCGGCCGAUGUCUGAUUAGCUAGUUGGUGGGGUAAAGGCCCACCAAGGCGACGAUCAGUAGCUGGUCUGAGAGGACGAUCAGCCACACUGGGGGCUGAGACACGGCCCAGGACUCCUACGGGAGGCA
RNAcentral lists this ribosomal RNA (347 nucleotides) under uncultured microorganism. RNAcentral describes it as "bacterial SSU rRNA". It matches the Rfam family "Bacterial small subunit ribosomal RNA", at positions 9 to 350 of the family's 1533-position model. The record is from RNAcentral.